Molecule: unclassified non-coding RNA, 233 nt
Filed under: plant metagenome
Description: partial contains small subunit ribosomal RNA, internal transcribed spacer 1, and 5.8S ribosomal RNA
Source: RNAcentral
UCUCCGUUGGUGAACCAGCGGAGGGAUCAUUACCGAGUUUUUCUGCUCCCAAACCCCUGUGAACUUAUACCUUUACUGUUGCUUCGGCGGGUUAACGCCCCGGAAGGCCCAAAAAGCCGCCGGAACCAGGCGCCCGCCGGGGGACCCAAACUCUUGUAUUUCUUACUUUGCAUGUCUGAGUGGAAUCAUAAACAAAUGAAUCAAAACUUUCAACAACGGAUCUCUUGGUUCUG